RNAcentral lists this ribosomal RNA (266 nucleotides) under uncultured Staphylococcus sp. RNAcentral's name for it is "partial 16S ribosomal RNA". It matches the Rfam family "Bacterial small subunit ribosomal RNA", at positions 96 to 356 of the family's 1533-position model. The record is from RNAcentral. Lineage: Bacteria; Bacillati; Bacillota; Bacilli; Caryophanales; Staphylococcaceae.
CGGCGGACGGGUGAGUAACACGUGGAUAACCUACCUAUAAGACUGGGAUAACUUCGGGAAACCGGAGCUAAUACCGGAUAAUAUAUUGAACCGCAUGGUUCAAUAGUGAAAGACGGUUUUGCUGUCACUUAUAGAUGGAUCCGCGCCGCAUUAGCUAGUCGGUAAGGUAACGGCUUACCAAGGCAACGAUGCGUAGCCGACCUGAGAGGGUGAUCGGCCACACUGGAACUGAGACACGGUCCAGACUCCUACGGGAGGCAGCAGNG